UACGUAGGGUGCAAGCGUUAAUCGGAAUUACUGGGCGUAAAGCGUGCGCAGGCGGUGAUGUAAGACAGAUGUGAAAUCCCCGGGCUCAACCUGGGAACUGCAUUUGUGACUGCAUCGCUGGAGUACGGCAGAGGGGGAUGGAAUUCCGGCGUGUAGCAGUGAAAUGCGUAGAUAUGCGGAGGAACACCGAUGGCGAAGGCAAUCCCCUGGGCCUGUACUGACGCUCCAUGCACGAAAGCGUGGGGAG
This 247-nucleotide ribosomal RNA is filed under the name uncultured bacterium. RNAcentral's name for it is "partial 16S ribosomal RNA". It matches the Rfam family "Bacterial small subunit ribosomal RNA", at positions 524 to 768 of the family's 1533-position model. The record is from RNAcentral.